UCCCUGGUAGUAUAUCGGUUAGUACACGCGCCUGUCAUAACAUGCAUAACAGUCCUGUCCGGUGCGCGCGAAAGCUGGGUUCGACUCCCAGCCAGGGAG
Dendrothele bispora CBS 962.96 is the source of this 99-nucleotide non-coding RNA. The record is from the annotation of a GenBank genome assembly. NCBI's taxonomy places the organism in Eukaryota, Fungi, Basidiomycota, Agaricomycetes, Agaricales.